Molecule: ribosomal RNA, 468 nt
Filed under: uncultured bacterium
Lineage: Bacteria
Description: partial 16S ribosomal RNA
Rfam family: Bacterial small subunit ribosomal RNA
Source: RNAcentral
GACGAACGCUGGCGGCGUGCUUAACACAUGCAAGUCGAACGGAAAGGCCCUGCUUUUGUGGGGUGCUCGAGUGGCGAACGGGUGAGUAACACGUGAGUAACCUGCCCUUGACUUUGGGAUAACUUCAGGAAACUGGGGCUAAUACCGGAUAGGAGCUCCUGCUGCAUGGUGGGGGUUGGAAAGUUUCGGCGGUUGGGGAUGGACUCGCGGCUUAUCAGCUUGUUGGUGGGGUAGUGGCUUACCAAGGCUUUGACGGGUAGCCGGCCUGAGAGGGUGACCGGGCACAAUGGGACUGGGAUACGGCCCAGACUCCUACGGGAGGCAGCAGUGGGGAAUAUUGCACAAUGGGCGGAAGCCUGAUGCAGCAACGCCGCGUGCGGGAUGACGGCCUUCGGGCUGUAAACCGCUUUCGCCUGUGACGAAGCGUGAGUGACGGUAAUGGGUAAAGAAGCACCGGCUAACUACGUG